This 1182-nucleotide long non-coding RNA is filed under the name Homo sapiens (human). Its description in RNAcentral is "non-protein coding lnc-RAB11FIP5-3:1". Lineage: Eukaryota; Metazoa; Chordata; Mammalia; Primates; Hominidae. The record is from RNAcentral.
CUGCCCCGGGGCCCCGGCUCUGCAAGCAAACAGGCCGAGCGCGGCGCUGCAUCCGAAAUGCGGCAUUUGAGCAGCGCGGCGAAGGCGAGCGGGGGAGCGGCCCACCCGGGCUGUCUGGGAAGUGAGAAUCCUCCCUAAUGGAUGUUUCACCCAAUUAAAUAAUUAACUCCAAGUGUUGCUAAGCAUCCUCGCCUCUCGCCUUCCAGUCCUGGAGGCGUCCUCAUGCCAGGCCGCGGCUGCUGCUGAGACAAGGAGCCUAGCGGGAGGAGCCAGGAGUGGGGGACAGUGCCCCUGAUGCUUCUGUACAGGAUGAGGGAGAUAAAUGCACCUGAGAGGGAAGGUAAGGAGGGCUGUUCAGAUAGGAGGCUGAGGGGAGGCUGAGACUCACAGGAAGUGGCAUUAGAACCUUCUGGAGCCUUUCUAUUGAAUAUUAAGUCCUUGAAGGUUUCCCUCUCCCCCAAUUCUUCCCAUACGCCACAGCAGGGUCCUUGUUCCUUCAAAGAAGGGGAAAGGAAGGGACACAGGCUUCUUCCUAAUGGGUAGUCUUGCGUUAUGAGGACUUACAGAGCUGAGCUGCUCUACUAACCAGACAGUCACAUAAGGAACCCCGAGGGGAGAGGCUAAAUACAUUCAUACUGUGGAAUAUCACUCAGCCGUUAAAAAGAACAAGAUACAUUUUCCUGUAUAGAUAGGAAAAGAUCUGUAAGAUACUAUAAAGUGAAAAAAUGCAGAUACCAGUAAAUGCAGUUUAAUUUAAGUAAAAAUAAUGUGCACAUGUAUGCAUAUACUUGUCUACCUGUGGAAGGAGGACUGGAACUAGGGACACCAAACUAUUCCAAGGGGUGACCUCUGUGCCUUAAAAUGGAGUGGGGAAAAGGCUAGUGCUCUCAUUUUAUUCUCUGCACCCCUGAAAUGCCUGAUUCUUGCAAGAAUGUGUUAUUAUAUCACUGCUACAAUUAAAACAGCAAUAGAGGCCGGGCGUGGUGGCUCAUUGCUUGUAAUCCCAGCACUUUGGGAGGCCGAGGCAGGUGGAUCACCUGAGGUCAAGAGUUCAAGACCAGCCUAGCCAACAUGGUGAAACCCCGUCCCUACAAAAAUACAAAAAUUAGCCAGGCAUGAUGGCAGGUGCCUGUAAUCCCAGCUACUUGGGAGGCUGAGGCAGAAGAAUCACUUGAACCUGGG